AUAUGCAAAUAAUAUGCAUUGCUGAGAACAUAACUUGGACAACUUCUAUUUAAGUUCAUAUUUAUAUUUGCACCCUCGGAUUCCAGAUUUUCAAACAGUUCUAUUUUCAGAUGAUGUGUAGACCUCUAUUCCAGAAAAGCGAUCCUUAUGGCUGGUUUUGUGCUCCGUCUCACUUCAUUAAAAGCCUUGAAGUGAACGACUGACGGAGGACGUCCUGAUGUGAGCACCGACGAACAUUCAGCAGUAAUUAGACGUUUGCUCUCGCUGUUUCAGAUGGUGCGGUGGAGAUCACGAGGGCCGUCUGCGAGUCACUGAGUCAUCAGAGACUUUUAUCCGAGAUUCUCGGCGGUCUCGCAGAUGGACCUCGAGCGCUCGACCUUUUCGCUUGCUGAAGGAGAAAAGCAGGUGAUAAAUCUCAGUAUACACCAUGUGCUACCAAUAACGGUGUGGUGCUGUCAGCUCCGUUUGACAUAAUUAGUCCUGGCUCAGUCCCAUCUAUGGGAUGAGGCAGAUUAACUAGUAGCGAACUAGGAGCUUUUAUUGUUAUGUUUCCAGUUUUCGUAGUCAUUUUUGGUUGUUUCAUAUCAUACGUGGAGUUGAUUACUAAGCACUGUGUGUGUGUGUGUGUGUGUGUGUGUGUGUCUGCUUUAAUCG
Long non-coding RNA from Puntigrus tetrazona (Sumatra barb), 654 nucleotides. RefSeq lists it as uncharacterized. The record is from RefSeq and is a predicted model, not a curated record. The transcript has 3 exons. Lineage: Eukaryota; Metazoa; Chordata; Actinopteri; Cypriniformes; Cyprinidae.